CCCCCACCACCAUAUGAAUGAACAUGCACACUCAUGUAUACUUGCGUGCCCCACACCUUUACGCACACACACAUGUGACCACACCCCUGCCGCCUGGCUCAGCUGCUCUCGGAGGGGAAAGCCAGGUCUGGAGCAGGGCUGAACCACCCCCCGACUCCAGGCCGGAGCCUCUCAGAACGCUCUGUCUGGACGACCUCAGACUCCUGAGCAGGAGCCCCAGUGCCCAAGCGCCCGGCCCCGAAGACACCCACAAACAGGUGGACAGCCCCUUGCAGCUCCCAACCUGAAGGUGGACAGCCCACAGGCUUCACUACUUGUCCUGAAAUGACCCGGAUCCCUCCAGAGCACCACAGCUGCGGGCGCCACACCAGAAACAUAUCUGGUCCCGGGGAGUGCUUUGCUGUCCAAUUCCAAAAGCCCCUUCCUGAGGAGUAAAUAAAACUGGGGGGGGGGGUGUCUUUGGGGCCCUGAUAACUGCCAGAGAGUCAGUAGGCAGGGGCAUGCACCCUGCAGCACGGACGCCCUGACGCCCUUCAGGACGCGAGCGGCUUCUGCCAGGGGCCGCCCAUGCCCCGGCAAGGCCCACAUCAGCACUUCUCAAACUCAGGGUGCAGAAGCAGCUCCAAGGACCCCGCUGCCCCGCAGAUACGCGCGGGUGUGGGGGCGGGAGGUGGGGGACGCCGCUGGGCAGCCUGAGGCUGAGGGGCAGGGGCACGAUUCGGUUCCAGCUGUCAGCCUUGGUCAUGUCUCACACGUUCAAAACCCCCAUCCACACCAGGCAGGAUGGGGAGCACCCACAACGGAAGAUCGUGAUUCUAACAGGAGAGGGACACGACCACUCCAAGGUGGCUGUGGACGAGAACAGAAGCACCGGGGGGGCCUCUGGUCAGCGAGGGGUUUCUCUCAGGGGUGUGGCCAGCAAUUCUGAGCGCCUUGUGCAAACACAAGCAAAGAUGGGAGUGUGUGCGGCAGGCUUCUGCGGUCAAAGUUCCAAAUGAGGAGAGGGAGCCUGAUGACAGCAAGUGGUGGUUUCUGGCGCUCGGGGGACAAACACCCACAGGUCCACGCUGACAUAAACGACGGAGUAAGAAAAAGGAAACGGAGGGAAGGAACUCUUCAACGGAACUGCACAUGGGAAAUCACCACGAAUAUUGUCACCAGGAGAUUCACGGAGGGACACGGAGGUCGGGCCAAAGCAUGACCAUGUUUGCGGGUGAUGCUGGCAGUCUUACGAUUUUUUCCGACAGGACAUACAACAGAGGAGGAAAAUGAGACUUUCUGGGGGAGAUGCCUGGCCCACACCACCUGUCCUAGGUGAGUAGGACAGUGACACCGUGCACCUGGUGUGAGGCACUGAGGACACAAUACCACUUCUGUGGGGUUCACGCCUACAGCUGUGACCUCAAUGUCAUCGUGUGAAAACGUCCCAUCAGCCCAAGUGGCAAGCCGGUCUGCAAAACAGCUGGCCGGCAGGCCUCAGGGUCACCCAGGCGUCAGAGACAGAUGGGAGGGAUGGUCCCGGGUUGGGUGGACGGAGGCAGGGCAAGCAAACAGCUGUCAGGGUGGUUUCCUGACACAGCGGGUUACGUGCGGUUCACUAGGAAGGAGACGCAAAGGGCGCGGUAAACACAAGCGUAUACAGACCGUG
Long non-coding RNA from Acinonyx jubatus (cheetah), 1648 nucleotides. RefSeq lists it as uncharacterized. The transcript is spliced from 2 exons. The record is from RefSeq and is a predicted model, not a curated record. Lineage: Eukaryota; Metazoa; Chordata; Mammalia; Carnivora; Felidae.